RNAcentral lists this ribosomal RNA (468 nucleotides) under uncultured bacterium. RNAcentral describes it as "partial 16S ribosomal RNA". It matches the Rfam family "Bacterial small subunit ribosomal RNA", at positions 28 to 507 of the family's 1533-position model. The record is from RNAcentral.
GACGAACGCUGGCGGCGUGCUUAACACAUGCAAGUCGAACGGAAAGGCCCUGCUUUUGUGCGGUGCUCGAGUGGCGAACGGGUGAGUAACACGUGAGUAACCUGCCCUUUACUUUGGGAUAACUUCAGGAAACUGGGGCUAAUACCGGAUAGGAGCUCCUGCUGCAUGGUGGGGGUUGGAAAGUUUCGGCGGUUGGGGAUGGACUCGCGGCUUAUCAGCUUGUUGGUGGGGUAGUGGCUUACCAAGGCUUUGACGGGUAGCCGGCCUGAGAGGGUGACCGGCCACAUUGGGACUGAGAUACGGCCCAGACUCCAACGGGAGGCAGCAGUGGGGAAUAUUGCACAAUGGGCGGAAGCCUGAUGCAGCAACGCCGCGUGCGGGAUGACGGCCUUCGGGUUGUAAACCGCUUUCGCCUGUGACGAAGCGUGAGUGACGGUAAUGGGUAAAGAAGCACCGGCUAACUACGUG